Molecule: long non-coding RNA, 2208 nt
Filed under: Heterocephalus glaber (naked mole-rat)
Lineage: Eukaryota; Metazoa; Chordata; Mammalia; Rodentia; Bathyergidae
Description: lncRNA (ENSHGLG00100041930.1)
Source: RNAcentral
CCCUUCCUCUGGACCAGGAGCAGUGGGACGACGGCUCAGAAGCCCCUACCUCUGGGCCGGGAACAGUGGGACUCAGUACCUUGGUCUGGUGGUCUGGUGUCCUCUGCGCCUUGGUAAUGUGGAAUCAGGUGGCUGCGUGUCUGCAGUGGGGUGAUUCGGUGUCUUCCACGUGACUCAGGACCUUGGUAGGGCGUGCACAGACCUGCCUGUCUGCAGCGGGCUGAUUCGGCGUCUAGCAAGAUGGGUAUUGGUAAUAGCCGGCUGCUUUUUGUACAUAUGCUUAAAAAAAAUGCUUCGGUCUCGUGGAGCAAAGGUAGGGCAUCAAUAAUUAUGUAAUUUUUAGAAUUCGUAGAGAAAGUUUGUCCUUGGUUCUCUGAAGAAGGCACAGUAGAUUUAGGAGUAUGGAACAAGGUAGGGAAGCGACUUCAGGACUGUUAUGAUGGUCAUGGACCCACUAAAAUCCCUAUAGAUGCUUUUAGUUUAUGGGUUUUAAUUAGAGAUAGUUUGGAUUCUCAGUAUGAGGGAGAGAGGGUUGAAGGACCCUCAAGUCCUUCCUCGGAGGAGCGUGACAAGGCUGGUGUUCCCAAGGUUGUCCCUCCACCUCCUGUAGAAGACUCAGGGUGAGGGAGGAAUAGUUCCUAGUAUAAUUGCUGGUUUUGAUCCCCCGCCAGUUGCAGGUCCAAGAUUAAUGAAAAAAACUGACCCUCUUAUAGCCAUGAUUAAACAUCCCCUAGGACCCAGGCCUUUGUCUGUCAAAUCUCGGUCUCUGUUGCCAUUACAAGCUACCCUGCAACAUGUGGUUGACAGAGGGGAAGAUACCCAGGGCUUUCGUUUAGCUUGUCCAGUAUUUGAGGAAGCUGAUGCUCAAGGGAAUAUGGUCAGAAUCCAUCGGCCGAUAUCUUUUAAGCAACUUAAAGUGUUAAAAAUGGCAUGUGCGCAAUAUGGCCCUACUGUACCUUUUACUCAGGCUACGUUAGAAUCGUUGAGCACAGAGGCGCUGCCUCCUGGAGAUUGGAAACAGCUUGCUAAAGCAUGCCUGUCUGGGGGAGAUUACCUCCUUUGGAAAACAGAAUUUUCCAAGCAGUGUUAAAGAACAGCUGAAUUAAAUUGGGCUAAUAGAAAUGGUACUGAUUAUGACAUGCUGGCAGGAGAAGGGCAAUAUGCAGACCUCGCCAAUCAAUUACUUUGCUCAGAUACAAUGGUGCAUACAUGCCUGCACCUGUCCUUGUUAUGUGGGUCACAUUAGCGCUCAUUCUGGGCUUCCUGGACCCCUGGCAAAGGGAAAUUGUGGAUGCUUAUGGAUUGACUGCAGCAGAAAGGCUGUGGCAUCCUAAAACUAAAUCAUCAUAUGCUCAAGUGAGGUGGAAAGAUCCCCUCACGGGUGUAUGGAGUGGCCCCGACCUGGUAUUAAUAUGGGGACGAGGGCAUGUUUGUGUUUUCCCGCAGGACGCUGAAGGUGCCAGGUGGCUGCCUGAAAGAUGAGUCCGUUUUGCGGGAAAUUCUCCUGCCCCUUAGGAUGAUCCUGACAACUGUCCUGCUGAUAAAUCUAAUGAUGACGCUGAAUGAGAAGGUUUAUUGGACUUAUGUACCUGAUCCACCUGUUGUACAUCCAAUGAGCUCAAAAAAUGGAGAAGUAAUGGUAUGGGUGAACAAUACCAGGCUGUUGGAUGAGACGGCGGCACCUGACAAGAACGAGGUCCUAUUGUUCAACUAUACGGGAUCAGAAACCGGAACCCCCAUAUGUUUCUUCAAAAUCAACAGAACUGAUUGUAUAAGACUGAGCGCUCGCACCCUGACAGGAAGGCAGGUAGAUCAAUGCAAAGGCGGGAUCACUGGAGUCCAUCUACAUCUACCUGUGGGUAUAGAGACCACUGGUGUAGUGCCUCAGACUUUUAAUGCUCCAAUAAGACUAUUCCAUGGAAGAGAUGUGUGGCGGAUGCCUCUGUGAGAUAUAAUAUUACUGGACUUGAUACUUAUGUUUUGGACUGGUCUGAAAAUUCUUGUCAUCCCAAAAGAAAUGUCACUGCAUAUGUCAUGUGCUCUUAGGUCAACUGGAACAAAGUUAGAUUGAAGAAAUGUCCCAGCAACUUGCUAUGAAGAUACACACAGAGCAAAAUGAUGGGUUGGGCGGCCCCAAGCUCCUGUCCCUCUCAGAAAUGUCAGAAUACAACCAGAUGAGGCCUAAUUGGAGGCACUAUGCGAAACAGC